ACAUGCUCAUGGAGAGGAAAGCUGUUAGGGCAAAGCAAUAUAUUAUAAUUAAGUACUUCAUGUUCGGUUAAUGUUUGCUGGUUAUCAGAAGGAUGAAUAGGAAAUUUCUACGAAAGCAAAUAUAGACAUUUUAAAUGGAUGUUUGUUGUGUUGUAUUCUCUUUCCUCUGUGCCUGUUAGAUUAUACUUCAUAAUUUAAAAUUAAGUUAAAAUUUGAAAUUUAUUUUCUUCCUGAGGAAAAUAGUUCAGUAUUCCAGAGCUCUGGGAAUUUAUCCUCAACGGGUACUUGAUAGACUUUUUUAAUUUAAUGGGAUAGAACCCAUCCUGUAAACAUGUCCUAUCAGUGUGGGUUCUCCAGGACCAAUAGAAUGUGUGUAUAUGUAGAGAAAGGAAUGUAUCGUAAGGAAUUCGCUCACAUGGUUAUGGAGGCCGCCAAGUCCCAAGUUUUGUAAUUGAUAAGCUGGAGACUCAGGAAAGCCAUGGUUUAAGUUUUAGUCCAAGUGCAGGAAAAAGCUGCUGUCCCAACUCCCAAGAGACUCAGACAGAGAGAGCGAAUAUUCUCGUACUCCAACUUCUGUUCUAGGCCUGAUUAGAGCCUCCCAUGGACUGGAUAAGGUUCAUCCGCCUCAGGGAGGGUAACCUGAUUUCUUCAGUUUAUCAAUUCAAAUGUAAUCUCAUCCAGAAACACCUGCAUAGACACUCCAGAACAGUGUUUAAUGAAACUUCUGAGGACCAGAUGGUCAAGUUGACUCAUAAAAUUAGCCAGCACAUCCUCCCAACCACCAGCACACACACACACACACACACACACACACACACAAAACCUGGCUAGAGAUCUACUAAGAGGGCAAGUUGGAGGCUAUGCUGGGGGCAAGUGGCCCUGCCCUAUGGGGAUCUCUCCUAAGAGGAGAUGACUUACCAGAGAACAGGGGGGAAGAUGAGGCCUUUGCUUGCUGCACAGUUUACAUCCUCACUUGUACCCACAGACCCAGAUGCGAGCAGGCCCUCAGAUGACAAUGUCGCUGAGUCCUGUGGAGCUGGCGAGGAAGGAUUUCUGCACUCAACGGCAGCAAGCAUAUUCUAACCAAGCCUCCGAGGACCUGCACCACAGCCCUACACAUGCUUUAAUGUAUGUCCUCCUUGUAAGGGACGAAGAGUUAAUGAUUUGUCUGGAGGCUUCCAGCACAACAGAUAACAUCUGAGGAAUGACCAGGCAAAGCCAUCACGUGCAUAUUCCAGACCACUGGUGCUAGACAUCUUGACGCCAAGAUCCCCUGGGUCCGGGGAAUAAGUGACUUAUGAUGGACACCUGGACCCUGUCCUUAUUCUGACCAGUUCCUGGAUGCCCAAGAGGACACGUGUAUCAGGCCACAAACAUCAAUAAAAACCCGAGACCCCAAGCAAAA
Neofelis nebulosa (Clouded leopard) is the source of this 1405-nucleotide long non-coding RNA. RefSeq lists it as uncharacterized. NCBI's taxonomy places the organism in Eukaryota, Metazoa, Chordata, Mammalia, Carnivora, Felidae. The transcript is spliced from 2 exons. The record is from RefSeq and is a predicted model, not a curated record.